Molecule: long non-coding RNA, 614 nt
Organism: Numida meleagris (helmeted guineafowl)
Lineage: Eukaryota; Metazoa; Chordata; Aves; Galliformes; Numididae
Exons: 3
Source: RefSeq, a predicted model, not a curated record
AGGCCCAGGAAGCACAGGUGGAAGCAAUUCACCUGUGCUUCCCAUGCGAUGCUGGGCUCAUUUAAGGGCUAGACUCCAAAGGGAGAGUGCUCCCUGGAUGAAAGGAUUGGCUUUGUUUUCAGAUCUUCGAAAGGCAUUGCUAUCACUAGCAAUCAAGACUCAGAACAAGCAGGAGAGGUGCUUAUCCACAGGUUUAGUUUGAAGGAGAGUAUAAAAAGGGAAUGUGGCAUUUUUAGUGAGAGCCGUUUGAAUUGGAAGACCAUUCCAGUGUUCAAAGUAAGUAGUUCCUGAUCAAGUGCCAGAAGAAGACACGAAGUUUGAGCUGCAUGCAAUUACCUACCUCAUUCCACAAAUGAUCUGCACCAGCUAGAAAAACAGAAUAUGUCUUUGCAGCUAUUUGGGGCUCCUCUGCAGAAACAGCGCAAAACUUUUCAGAGGAGUUACUAGCAACAAGAGCUUCACAUGGUGGAUGUAAAGGCAAUACAAACCCAUUAAGACUGGCGAGCACUGUUUACUAUUCAUGAAGUUCUCUCUGAAAGUGGUGAGCAUCAUUACACCUCUUCUAGAGGGAGAAACUUAAGCUGAGGAAGAUUAUAUGAUUUGAACAAGGUCAU